Molecule: long non-coding RNA, 533 nt
Organism: Rhipicephalus sanguineus (brown dog tick)
Lineage: Eukaryota; Metazoa; Arthropoda; Arachnida; Ixodida; Ixodidae
Exons: 3
Source: RefSeq, a predicted model, not a curated record
CUUCUGUUUGCGGGAGUUUGGUGGUCGUGUGCCUGUUCAGGACGCUGUUUUCCGACAAAAGCCGCGGCAAGACUUGUUCUCAGCGGAGUCCUCCGCUACCAAAGAAUGCCAUCCACUAGAGGAUAUAGUGGGCAGACUUGCUGUGUUCCUGGCUGUGACAAUAAUACAUUGAAGAACAGUGGACUGUCUUGGCACACAUUUCCAAGUGAUCCAGCCAUGAAAAAAAUAUGGCUGGAAAGAAUCAACAGAAAAGGCCAUAGAGGGAAAUACGCGCUUUGGAAACCAAAGGCCAGCAACAGGGUUUGUGGGGCUCAUUUCAACAUAACUGGACGAAGGGCGUAUGGGGACACCGUACCGAGGUUUUUUCCGUCCAAAACCUACCCCCCAUGGACAAGGCAACCAACCUGCUCUGCUAAGAGACGGAAGCACCAGAAUGAGCCUACCAGUGCGCAAGUUUGUGAGGAUCUACCUUCUCGGCCAGUGUUCCUGCCUGAAAUGGAUGUGGCUAGUGUGGUGACUGUGAGCUUGCCAGG